UGCGUAGGCGGAAUUUUAAGUCAGUGGUGAAAUCCUGCAGCUCAACUGUAGAACUGCCAUUGAUACUGAUCUUCUUGAAUUUAGUUGAGGUGGGCGGAACGUGUAAUGUAGCGGUGAAAUGCUUAGAUAUUACACAGAACACCGAUUGCGAAGGCAGCUCACUAAACUAACAUUGACGCUGUGGCACGAAAGCGUGGGUAGCGAACAGGAUUAGAUACCCUGGUAGUCC
RNAcentral lists this ribosomal RNA (229 nucleotides) under uncultured bacterium. Its description in RNAcentral is "partial 16S ribosomal RNA". It matches the Rfam family "Bacterial small subunit ribosomal RNA", at positions 568 to 796 of the family's 1533-position model. The record is from RNAcentral.